Molecule: long non-coding RNA, 2195 nt
Organism: Dendrobium catenatum
Lineage: Eukaryota; Viridiplantae; Streptophyta; Magnoliopsida; Asparagales; Orchidaceae
Exons: 3
Source: RefSeq, a predicted model, not a curated record
UCAUCUCGUCCUUAUUUGAGUGUCGUUUUGUUUUGCCCUCGUGAUCUUACUAAAGUUAGAUCAUCAAGAUCAUUACGAAAUUUUUCAUAGCUUGAGCUGUCUUUUUGUACUCGUGUAUUAAAACAUUCCUUGUUAUAGUCAGGGAUUGGGAUAGAAUUGCUGUGCAAUUUUGUUGGUUGCUUCGAUUUUAAUUUUACUACUGUAGCUAUUGACUGUAAUGUGCAAACCUGCAAACUUGCGAAAUCACAAGCUUCACGAAAAGACCAUUUCUGAUCCUCAUAACCUCAACCUUGGGCGAUAGUACCUGGUGCUGCUGUAGAAAUUAAAGCAUCUUUUACAUACUCAUACAGCACCUGAUUAACUAGAUUCAAAGUUUCCAAUUUUAAUAUCAAGAUAUUCUAAUUCUGGAAAAAUGUUGAUUCUUUUCUAUUAAAUGUAUCUUAUUCUACAGUGGUAGUACUGGACCACCUACUUUUUAUUCGUUUCAGAGUAAAAGCUCAAAGUUGUCCCUUGACUAUUAAUAAAUGCCCAAUUUAGUCUCAUGCUUUCAUAAUGACCCAAUUUAAUCCCCCACAUAUUAGAAAAUGUCUCAAUUUAAUCCUAAUGCCAAAAAUAACAGGUAAAAUUAAUCUCAAUAGUUAAAUAUGACGGCAUUUUGGAUAUUAUGAUAUUUAUUAUUUAUCAUAUUAAAACAAAUACAAAAAUCAUAGUAGAAGUUAAUCAAUUAAAUAAUAAUAUAGUGAAUAAUUAAUAAAUGUGAUUAAUAUUCAUUAUAAUUUUUAUUUAUUUUAAUAUGAUAAAUAAUAAAAUAUAUAAAAAUAAUAAUAUAAUCUCACAUACACUCUAAUACCCAAAAUACCAUCACAUUUAACUAUUAGGUUUAACUUUAACGGUUACUUUUAGCCUUGGGAUCAAAUUGAGAUAUUUUCUAAUAAUCAGUAAACUAAAUUGGGGAAUUAUGAAAAUCUGGACUAAAUUGGCCCUUUACUUAUAGUCGGGGGAUUAUUUUGAACUUUUACUUUAUUCGUCCACAUAUAUGAAGAUUUGCAAAGAAAUUUACUAUGUUCUACGUAAUAUUCUAAGAAAAAGUGUAGGUCUUCAUAAGCUCCAGCAUUCUUUGUUUUAGUAAAUAUAUGUCUUCUGUAAUACUUCAUAUUUUUGUUUGUCUUUCUUCACCAGCUUUUAGUGGUCUCCAAAUCUUGCCGGCCUUCGUGUACAUCUUAAGAAGAAUGUCAGUUGCUGCAUAAUAUUUUCCAACAAGGAUCCUCAAUUUCUUUUUGGAAGUUUUUUAAUGAAUUAGAGUCAUUCUUUUAUUUGUUUUCUCUUUUAACAGUUCCCCUUGAUACUCCCAUGUAUACCUUUAUUUUCAACUUUCAAUCAUAUCUUCAUUCUGCAUUAAUGUCGACACAUUUUGAUUGAAUAUGAUCAAAAUUGGAAAAAAUAUGCUCUUAGUUCUCUCAUUCAUCUAUAUUAGUUUUAAGAGGGAAAAGUUGUUUACAAAAUUUCGAGCAACGGUAAAUAUUUUUUUCUUCUCUCAUUUCUUUUUUUUCUUAUAAAAUUUUUUCAACUUUGUUGAUAAAUUAAGUUGUUAUUCAAAUUCAGUUGCUUUGUUAUUGGCGUUAUUAUUUUCAUUAUAGUUUUGCCAACAGCCAUCUCAAAGAUGCUCAAUUUGGAGUUAGCAAGUUGUUGAAGAUAGCCAAGAAUAUUGGAAAAGAAACGCAUCCGUCUUGUCAAGAAACUUCCUGUUGCUUGCGAAAUGCUGGAGUGAUAGCCUGCAAAAAGGCCAACAUUCGGGGAAAUUAUUUUUCGGCUAUCUUCAAUCCAGAGAAACAUAUUGCUCAGAGCAAGUUGGAAGGUUUCUAAUCAUCUGGGGUUGUGGGAGCUAUAAAGACUACAAGGUUCUCUUCUUUUAUUUUUCGCAUUUAUAUUCCUAUUUCUUUGUGCCUUUUUGCAGGAAGUAUGAGCUGAAAGAAUUAAAGUGGAUCUUCCUUUUUUGGGUGCUGUUUACUUACAGCCCGUGUUUUUCUGAUUGUUAUUUUUGUAAUCUUAGGACAAGGAACUACCGGCUCUUAGGGGUUUUUAUUUACUUUUUGAUUGUAGCUCUUCGGAGCAGUAGCGAGCUGGUGGGUCCUUUUAAGGAUGGUGUAACCGAAUUUUGAUAUUAACACGUAGGCCCCUCUGUGGGUUUAUCCUUC